RNAcentral lists this ribosomal RNA (1147 nucleotides) under uncultured Psychrosphaera sp. Its description in RNAcentral is "bacterial SSU rRNA". It matches the Rfam family "Bacterial small subunit ribosomal RNA", at positions 277 to 1407 of the family's 1533-position model. The record is from RNAcentral. Lineage: Bacteria; Pseudomonadati; Pseudomonadota; Gammaproteobacteria; Alteromonadales; Pseudoalteromonadaceae.
CGAUCUCUAGCUGUUCUGAGAGGAAGAUCAGCCACACUGGGACUGAGACACGGCCCAGACUCCUACGGGAGGCAGCAGUGGGGAAUAUUGCACAAUGGGGGAAACCCUGAUGCAGCCAUGCCGCGUGUGUGAAGAAGGCCUUCGGGUUGUAAAGCACUUCCAGUUGUGAGGAAAGGUUGGUAGUUAAUACCUGCCAGCUGUGACGUUAACAACAGAAGAAGCACCGGCUAACUCCGUGCCAGCAGCCGCGGUAAUACGGAGGGUGCGAGCGUUAAUCGGAAUUACUGGGCGUAAAGCGUACGCAGGCGGCUUGUUAAGCCAGAUGUGAAAGCCCCGGGCUCAACCUGGGAACUGCAUUUGGAACUGGCAGGCUAGAGUGCGACAGAGGGUGGUAGAAUUUCAGGUGUAGCGGUGAAAUGCGUAGAGAUCUGAAGGAAUACCGNAUGGCGAAGGCAGCCACCUGGGUCGACACUGACGCUCAUGUACGAAAGCGUGGGUAGCAAACAGNGAUUAGAUACCCUGGUAGUCCACGCCGUAAACGAUGUCUACUACCAGCUUGGUUCGUUAAGAACUGUUUUGCGCAGCUAACGCAUUAAGUAGACCGCCUGGGGAGUACGNGCCGNCAAGGUUNNAAAANCNUCNAAAUGAAUUGACGGGGGCCCGCACAAGCGGUGGAGCAUGUGGUUUAAUUCGAUGCAACGCGAAGAACCUUACCAUCCCUUGACAUCCAGAGAAUUUACUAGAGAUAGUUUAGUGCCUUCGGGAACUCUGAGACAGGUGCUGCAUGGCUGUCGUCAGCUCGUGUUGUGAAAUGUUGGGUUAAGUCCCGCAACGAGCGCAACCCUUAUCCUUAGUUGCUAGCAGGUUAUGCUGAGAACUCUAAGGAGACUGCCGGUGACAAGCCGGAGGAAGGUGGGGACGACGUCAAGUCAUCAUGGCCCUUACGGGAUGGGCUACACACGUGCUACAAUGGCAAGUACAAAGGGUUGCGAACUCGCGAGAGUAAGCGGAUCCCAUAAAGCUUGUCGUAGUCCGGAUUGGAGUCUGCAACUCGACUCCAUGAAGUCGGAAUCGCUAGUAAUCGUAGAUCAGAAUGCUACGGUGAAUACGUUCCCGGGCCUUGUACACACCGCCCGUCACACCAUGG